RNAcentral lists this long non-coding RNA (707 nucleotides) under Solanum tuberosum (potato). RNAcentral's name for it is "long non-coding RNA (STUB_LNC007859)". Lineage: Eukaryota; Viridiplantae; Streptophyta; Magnoliopsida; Solanales; Solanaceae. The record is from RNAcentral.
UGUUGCUACUUAAAUCAUCCCUUCUUCUUCCUCCAUUCUCCAAACUAUCCCCCUUUAACGCCUCACGCCUCAUCCUUUUGUCUCUCACCCUUGCAAUCAGUGUCUCCAUCUCCACUUCAUCUUCAUCUUCCUCUGCUGUCAAACUCGAAGUCAUUUCCUUUCUUUUUUCUCUAUCCUUUUCUGUUAAAUUAAGCACUGUUGCCUUCUCGUUCUCUUCCUUCCCAUUCUCCGCCAUUAUCUCCGAUUCAUCCUGCCUUAACCCUUUACCACCCCUGUUGCUACUUAAGUCCAUUCUUCUUCCUCCAUCCUCCGAACCAUCUCCUUUUAAUGCCUCACGCCUCAUCCUUUUCUCUCUCACCCUUGCAAUCAGCAUCUCCAUCUCCACAUCAUCUUCCUUUUCUAUCAAAUCCAUCUCCUUACUUUUCUCACUUUCUUCCCCCUUAUCUUUUACCGGGAUCUUUCCCUUAUUCACCUUCUUCUUCACUAACAACUGCAUCUCAGCUAAUGUCAUUGUAUCUUCUCCUUCACCUACACUUCUCACCUUACCAUUAAUCUUUGAUCUCAACUCCUUGAUCAAACCAUCGUCGCUCUCAACAUCUCCUUCCAUAUCCACCUCAGUUCCAACACCAAUUGCAUCAUCAUUUCUUGUCGUUUUUCCAUGUGGCCUCUUAUUAACCUCCGUAACACUCCCCACUUUCCUCUUCCUC